Molecule: ribosomal RNA, 1375 nt
Filed under: Vibrio fluvialis
Lineage: Bacteria; Pseudomonadati; Pseudomonadota; Gammaproteobacteria; Vibrionales; Vibrionaceae
Description: partial 23S ribosomal RNA
Rfam family: Bacterial large subunit ribosomal RNA
Source: RNAcentral
AGCACCUACGGGUGUGAAGUCAUUGAUGCCAUGCUUCCAGGAAAAGCCUCUAAGCUUCAGAUUGUAAGGAAUCGUACCCCAAACCGACACAGGUGGUCGGGUAGAGAAUACCAAGGCGCUUGAGAGAACUCGGGUGAAGGAACUAGGCAAAAUGGUACCGUAACUUCGGGAGAAGGUACGCUCUUGAUGGUGAAGUCCCUCGCGGAUGGAGCUGAUGAGAGUCGCAGAUACCAGGUGGCUGCAACUGUUUAUUAAAAACACAGCACUGUGCAAAAUCGUAAGAUGACGUAUACGGUGUGACGCCUGCCCGGUGCCGGAAGGUUAAUUGAUGGGGUUAGCGUAAGCGAAGCUCUUGAUCGAAGCCCCGGUAAACGGCGGCCGUAACUAUAACGGUCCUAAGGUAGCGAAAUUCCUUGUCGGGUAAGUUCCGACCUGCACGAAUGGCGUAAUGAUGGCCACGCUGUCUCCACCCGAGACUCAGUGAAAUUGAAAUCGCUGUGAAGAUGCAGUGUACCCGCGGCUAGACGGAAAGACCCCGUGAACCUUUACUACAGCUUGGCACUGAACAUUGAACCUACAUGUGUAGGAUAGGUGGGAGGCUUUGAAGACGUGACGCUAGUUGCGUUGGAGCCGUCCUUGAAAUACCACCCUUGUAUGUUUGAUGUUCUAACUUAGCCCCGUUAUCCGGGGUGAGGACAGUGCCUGGUGGGUAGUUUGACUGGGGCGGUCUCCUCCCAAAGAGUAACGGAGGAGCACGAAGGUGGGCUAAUCACGGUUGGACAUCGUGAGGUUAGUGCAAUGGCAUAAGCCCGCUUAACUGCGAGAAUGACGGUUCGAGCAGGUGCGAAAGCAGGUCAUAGUGAUCCGGUGGUUCUGUAUGGAAGGGCCAUCGCUCAACGGAUAAAAGGUACUCCGGGGAUAACAGGCUGAUACCGCCCAAGAGUUCAUAUCGACGGCGGUGUUUGGCACCUCGAUGUCGGCUCAUCACAUCCUGGGGCUGAAGUCGGUCCCAAGGGUAUGGCUGUUCGCCAUUUAAAGUGGUACGCGAGCUGGGUUUAGAACGUCGUGAGACAGUUCGGUCCCUAUCUGCCGUGGGCGUUGGAAGAUUGAAGGGGGCUGCUCCUAGUACGAGAGGACCGGAGUGGACGAACCUCUGGUGUUCGGGUUGUGUCGCCAGACGCAUUGCCCGGUAGCUAAGUUCGGAAUCGAUAACCGCUGAAAGCAUCUAAGCGGGAAGCGAGCCCUGAGAUGAGUCUUCCCUGACGGUUUAACCGUCCUAAAGGGUUGUUCGAGACUAGAACGUUGAUAGGCAGGGUGUGUAAGCGUUGUGAGGCGUUGAGCUAACCUGUACUAAUUGCCCGUGAGGCUUAACCAU